UUCGGAGCUAGAGACCGGCGCACGGGUGCGUAACGCGUAUGCAACCUACCUUUCACAGGGGGAUAGCCCAGAGAAAUUUGGAUUAAUACCCCAUGGUAUAUUAGUAUGGCAUCAUAUUAUUAUUAAAGUUCCAACGAUGAAAGAUGGGCAUGCGUCCCAUUAGCUAGAUGGUAAGGUAACGGCUUACCAUGGCGACGAUGGGUAGGGGUCCUGAGAGGGAGAUCCCCCACACUGGUACUGAGACACGGACCAGACUCCUACGGGAGGCAGCAGUGAGGAAUAUUGGUCAAUGGGCGCAAGCCUGAACCAGCCAUGCCGCGUGCAGGAUGAAGCAUCUAUGGUGUGUAAACUGCUUUUAUACGGGAAGAAACCCUGCCACGUGUGGCAGAUUGACGGUACCGUAAGAAUAAGGACCGGCUAACUCCGUGCCAGCAGCCGCGGUAAUACGGAGGGUCCAAGCGUUAUCCGGAAUCAUUGGGUUUAAAGGGUCCGUAGGCGGUCAGGUAAGUCAGUGGUGAAAGCCCAUCGCUCAACGGUGGAACGGCCAUUGAUACUGCCUGACUUGAAUUACUGGGAAGUAACUAGAAUAUGUAGUGUAGCGGUGAAAUGCUUAGAUAUUACAUGGAAUACCAAUUGCGAAGGCAGGUUACUACCAGUUUAUUG
Molecule: ribosomal RNA, 663 nt
Filed under: uncultured Flavobacteriales bacterium
Lineage: Bacteria; Pseudomonadati; Bacteroidota; Flavobacteriia; Flavobacteriales
Description: bacterial SSU rRNA
Rfam family: Bacterial small subunit ribosomal RNA
Source: RNAcentral